This 92-nucleotide transfer RNA is filed under the name Plasmodium chabaudi adami. RNAcentral's name for it is "Ser transfer RNA (gct)". It matches the Rfam family "tRNA". From Rfam's summary of the family: Transfer RNA (tRNA) molecules are approximately 80 nucleotides in length. Their secondary structure includes four short double-helical elements and three loops (D, anti-codon, and T loops). Lineage: Eukaryota; Apicomplexa; Aconoidasida; Haemosporida; Plasmodiidae. RNAcentral also lists the same sequence under 1 other name. The record is from RNAcentral.
UAGAGAAAUGGCUGAGUGGUUUAUAGCUAUAAAUUGCUAAUUUAUUGUAUAUAUUAUAUAUAUACCAAGGGUUCAAAUCCCUUUUUCUCUAU